UUGCCCAAUGAUGCAUAAAAUUAUGUUAUAGAGCGGUUGUAUUUGGGUAAUCUCCGGCGUGUUGUUUUAACCUAAUAGCCUUGAACGCCGUCGUUUCGUCUCCGACGACAUUCACACGCGCACACUUCCACCCUUACCAUCUAUCCGUCUCACACGUGCGUCGGAUGCGAAACGGUGGUGUUCAGGGAUUUUUUAGGUUGCCGGAUUUUACCCAUUUACUCUAAGCCGUGAAUGAUCAAAUUUAUAGCUAUGAGAUCUGAGGGCUUUGUUUUUUAAU
This 277-nucleotide small RNA is filed under the name Arabidopsis thaliana (thale cress). Its description in RNAcentral is "ATSL074240". The stretch from base 55 to 205 matches the Rfam family "MIR4228 microRNA precursor family". The record is from RNAcentral. Lineage: Eukaryota; Viridiplantae; Streptophyta; Magnoliopsida; Brassicales; Brassicaceae.